ACGAACGCUGGCGGCGUGCUUAACACAUGCAAGUCGAACGGGCCAUAUGGGGCUUGCUCUGUAUGGUCAGUGGCGAACGGGUGCGUAACACGUGAGAAAUCUGUCCUUCGGCGGGGGAUAGCCGGCCCAACGGCCGGGUAAUACCGCGUACGCUCGCACCGGGGCAUCCCGGCGCGAGGAAAGCAGCAAUGCGCCGAUGGAGGAUCUCGCGGCCUAUCAGCUAGUUGGCGGGGUAAUGGCCCACCAAGGCGACGACGGGUAGCUGGUCUGAGAGGAUGGCCAGCCACAUUGGGACUGAGACACGGCCCAGACUCCUACGGGAGGCAGCAGUGGGGAAUAUUGCGCAAUGGGCGAAAGCCUGACGCAGCGACGCCGCGUGUGGGAUGACGGCCUUCGGGUUGUAAACCACUGUCGGGAGGGACGAAGCUCUGACGGUACCUCCAAAGGAAGCACCGGCUAACUCUGU
RNAcentral lists this ribosomal RNA (466 nucleotides) under uncultured bacterium. RNAcentral's name for it is "bacterial SSU rRNA". It matches the Rfam family "Bacterial small subunit ribosomal RNA", at positions 29 to 506 of the family's 1533-position model. The record is from RNAcentral.